RNAcentral lists this ribosomal RNA (498 nucleotides) under uncultured bacterium. RNAcentral describes it as "partial 16S ribosomal RNA". It matches the Rfam family "Bacterial small subunit ribosomal RNA", at positions 30 to 523 of the family's 1533-position model. The record is from RNAcentral.
AUUGAACGCUGGCGGCAUGCCUUACACAUGCAAGUCGAACGGUAACAGGUCUUCGGAUGCUGACGAGUGGCGGACGGGUGAGUAAUACAUCGGAACGUGCCUAGUAGUGGGGGAUAACUACUCGAAAGAGUGGCUAAUACCGCAUGAGAUCUACGGAUGAAAGCAGGGGAUCGCAAGACCUUGUGCUACUAGAGCGGCCGAUGGCAGAUUAGGUAGUUGGUGGGAUAAAAGCUUACCAAGCCGACGAUCUGUAGCUGGUCUGAGAGGACGAUCAGCCACACUGGGACUGAGACACGGCCCAGACUCCUACGGGAGGCAGCAGUGGGGAAUGUUGGACAAUGGGCGCAAGCCUGAUCCAGCAAUGCCGCGUGCAGGAUAAAGGCCUUCGGGUUGUAAACUGCUUUUGUACGGAACGAAAAGCCCCGGGUUAAUACCCUGGGGUCAUGACGGUACCGUAAGAAUAAGCACCGGCUAACUACGUGCCAGCCGCCGCGGUAA